UGCUAGCGGCAUGCCUAACACAUGCAAGUCGAGGGGUAGAGGAAGCUUGCUUCCUUGAGACCGGCGCACGGGUGCGUAACGCGUAUGCAAUCUGCCUUGUACUGAGGGAUACCCCGCAGAAAUUUGGAUUAAUACCUCAUAGCAUUAUGAAAUCGCAUGGGUUUAUAAUUAAAGUUCCAACGGCACAAGAUGAGCAUGCGUCCCAUUAGUUAGUUGGGAUGGUAACGGCUUACCACGACGAUGAGGGGUAGGGGUCCUGAGAGGGAGAUCCCCCACACUGGUACUGAGACACGGACACUACUCCUACAGGAGGCAGCAGUGAGGAAUAUUGGUCAAUGGACGCAAGUCUGAACCAGCCAUGCCGCGUGCAGGAUGAAGCAUCUAUGGUGUGUAAACUGCUUUUGUACGGGAAGAAACCCUCCUACGUGUAGGAGCUUGACGGUACCGUAAGAAUAAGGAUCGGCUAACUCCGUGCCAGCAGCCGCGGUAAUACGGAGGAUCCGAGCGUUAUCCGGAAUCUUUGUGUUUAAAGGGUCCGUACGCGGCUUUAUAAGUCACUGAUGAAAGCCCAUCGCUUUACGAUGGAACGGCCAUUGAUACUGUGCAGCUUGAAUUACUUGGAAAUAACUAUAAUAUGUAGUGUAGCGGUGAGAUGCUUAUAUAUAACAUGGAGUACCACUUGCGAGGGCAGGUUACUACGAGUGUAUUGACGCUGACGUACGAAAACGUGGGGAGCGAACAGGAUUAGAUACCCCUGUGUAGUCCCACGCCGUAUACGAUAUGAUACUAUGCUGUGUCGGAGCAAUCUGAGUGGCUAAACGAAAGUGAUAAGUAUCCCACCUGGGGAGUACGCACGCGAGUGUGAGACUCAAAUGAAUUGACGGAGAGGGCGAAUU
RNAcentral lists this ribosomal RNA (896 nucleotides) under uncultured Flavobacterium sp. RNAcentral's name for it is "bacterial SSU rRNA". It matches the Rfam family "Bacterial small subunit ribosomal RNA", at positions 34 to 927 of the family's 1533-position model. Lineage: Bacteria; Pseudomonadati; Bacteroidota; Flavobacteriia; Flavobacteriales; Flavobacteriaceae. The record is from RNAcentral.